This 56-nucleotide transfer RNA is filed under the name Trichuris discolor. RNAcentral's name for it is "tRNA-Asp". The record is from RNAcentral. Lineage: Eukaryota; Metazoa; Nematoda; Enoplea; Trichinellida; Trichuridae.
AAAGAUUUAGUUUAUACCCAAAAUUUUGGAUUGUCAAUUCAAAGAAUUGAUUCUUU